AUAUUCGCAUUGGGUUUUUUCUAAUUAUACUCACAAUGUUGCUUUGUUUCUAAUUUUGACAAUUUGUCCUGUGUCCUCAAACACAGUUAGGCUAAACUUCUCACUUCUUGGAGUUGCUUGAAGUCCAGAACCAGCCUGUCAGUGAAGUACAAGAGGAACCUCUUGGCAUGUCUAAAGCCAGCACAAAAAUAAUAGGUUCAGUAGAUGUGACUGAAACCCCAGCAGUCCAGAGGAGGAAAUAAGGCUGGACUGUCUUUUCUGUUAGAUCUUGCUUACAAAUUGAACUGCACAGCUCAUCUCUUACAAGACAAGUGAGUUAUCCUGAAGUCUCUGUAGAAAGGGUGUCAGCCCAUAAUGUGAUGGAUGGAUGGCAGAGCUUAUUCUAAAUGCUGACAGCUGAAGGCUGGUAAUGCUGCUGUGGAAGAGGUUUUAAAAAUGUCUUCAGUGGAAGUGACUAGCAAAUCCAUGCUUGCUUGAUUCACCUGGUUACACCUAUGAAUCAGACGAAGUUGUAGCACUAGAAUCCCAUAAUCUAAGACUAUUUUGCAACCGUGCAGCAGUUUGUUCGAGGAGAUCUCUGCAUAACCCGGCUGGAGAGCUACUCUUGGCGAGUUUCUCCCAGGGUCUGCCCUCCGCAGCACGCACCGCGUUUUGUAACGCUUCCCGGUGCACGCCGGGGCACAGGAACGCUAGAAGGGAAUCUGCUUUUACAACGUCUAACCCUUAAAACCUCCAAAUGAGAC
Long non-coding RNA from Harpia harpyja (harpy eagle), 743 nucleotides. RefSeq lists it as uncharacterized. The transcript is spliced from 3 exons. The record is from RefSeq and is a predicted model, not a curated record. NCBI's taxonomy places the organism in Eukaryota, Metazoa, Chordata, Aves, Accipitriformes, Accipitridae.